RNAcentral lists this long non-coding RNA (279 nucleotides) under Gossypium barbadense (sea-island cotton). RNAcentral's name for it is "long non-coding RNA (GBAR_LNC013920)". Lineage: Eukaryota; Viridiplantae; Streptophyta; Magnoliopsida; Malvales; Malvaceae. The record is from RNAcentral.
CCCUUUAUCAAUUUACAUUAAAUUUAAUAGGCUAGUCAAUAUUAAAACAUAUUACUCUGAUCUGACAAAGCAUAAACUUCCUUUCAUUAAAACAUUAAAAUAGCCAAUACAUAGAGGAUAUAAAAUAAGAGCCAACAUGCAGGGACCAAAACAUUAAACAAAAUAAACAAAGCCUCACUACACUAAAGUGGAGACUAAUUUUGGAUUUUGAAAAUUCCAUCCAAAAUCCUUAUUCAUUCUUCUUCUUCUUCUUCUUUUUAAUCAUAUAUUAUAUCUCCU